CCCUUAGAUGUUCUGGGCUGCACGCGUGCUACACUGAUGUAUUCAAUAAGCUCCCAACCCACUCCGAAGGGAUCGGGUAACCUUCGAAAAUCACAUCGUGAUGGGGAUAGACUGUUGCAAUUAUAAGUCUUUAACGAGGAAUUCCUAGUAAGUGCAGGUCAUCAGCUUGUGUUGAUUACGUCCCUGCCCUUUGUACACACCGCCCGUCGCUCCUACCGAUUGAGUGGUCCGGUGAGGCUUUGGGAUCUGAGCGGAAAGAGCGUUUCGCUGUUUCUGCUCGGAAAACUCAGUCGAACCUUAUCAUUUAGAGGAAGGAGAAGUCGUAACA
Molecule: ribosomal RNA, 328 nt
Filed under: uncultured eukaryote
Lineage: Eukaryota
Description: partial 18S ribosomal RNA
Rfam family: Eukaryotic small subunit ribosomal RNA
Source: RNAcentral